AAGUCGUAACAAGGUUUCCGUAGGUGAACCUGCGGAAGGAUCAUUAUUGAAUUCCACUUGGGUGAGAUUGCUGCUGGCCUCUGGGCAUGUGCACGUCUCUCUCAUUUACCUCUCACCUCUGUGCACUUCUCACAGGACAGCUCGUGGCCUCUGGCUGCAGGCUGCUUCUGUGUACUUUACAAACUUUUAAUUAUGGUUAAGAAUGUUUCUGUGUAUCCACACAAUGAAAUACAACUUUCAGCAACGGAUCUCUUGGCUCUC
RNAcentral lists this unclassified non-coding RNA (261 nucleotides) under Rigidoporus sp. RNAcentral describes it as "partial internal transcribed spacer region". The stretch from base 1 to 46 matches the Rfam family "Eukaryotic small subunit ribosomal RNA", at positions 1786 to 1831 of the family's 1831-position model. The record is from RNAcentral. Lineage: Eukaryota; Fungi; Basidiomycota; Agaricomycetes; Polyporales; Meripilaceae.